This 468-nucleotide ribosomal RNA is filed under the name uncultured bacterium. RNAcentral describes it as "partial 16S ribosomal RNA". It matches the Rfam family "Bacterial small subunit ribosomal RNA", at positions 28 to 507 of the family's 1533-position model. The record is from RNAcentral.
GACGAACGCUGGCGGCGUGCUUAACACAUGCAAGUCGAACGGAAAGGCCCUGCUUUUGUGGGGUGCUCGAGUGGCGAACGGGUGAGUAACACGUGAGUAACCUGCCCUUGACUUUGGGAUAACUUCAGGAAACUGGGGCUAAUACCGGAUAGGAGCUCCUGCUGCAUGGUGGGGGUUGGAAAGUUUCGGCGGUUGGGGAUGGACUCGCGGCUUAUCAGCUUGUUGGUGGGGUAGUGGCUUACCAAGGCUUUGACGGGUAGCCGGCCUGAGAGGGUGACCGGCCACAUUGGGACUGAGAGACGGCCCAGACUCCUACGGGAGGCAGCAGUGGGGAAUAUUGCACAAUGGGCGGAAGCCUGAUGCAGCAACGCCGCGUGCGGGAUGACGGCCUUCGGGUUGUAAACCGCGUUCGCCUGUGACGAAGCGUGAGUGACGGUAAUGGGUAAAGAAGCACCGGCUAACUACGUG